This 474-nucleotide long non-coding RNA is filed under the name Ananas comosus (pineapple). RNAcentral's name for it is "long non-coding RNA (ACOM_LNC018416)". The record is from RNAcentral. Lineage: Eukaryota; Viridiplantae; Streptophyta; Magnoliopsida; Poales; Bromeliaceae.
CAUUUAAAUUAUAAUAAUCAUGCAUUUGCAAUUUUACAGUUAACUUUUUAAAUUAAAUUAGAAUAACCAUUAUCUAAUCUAUUAAUUUAUUAUUCGUUCGUCAGUUCAUGAGUCAAUUUAUGUUCUGUUCCUUUGACACUCUUAUUAGGUACCAUUUGGCUGGAGGAUAAACAUGGAAUAAAGGACUUUAUCCCCUUUAUUCUACAAAACGAAGUGAAAAAUGACUAUUUCUCUCUUAACGGGUUAUUCUAGAAUAAUCCGUUAAGAGAGGAGAACUACUAUUCUUCCCACCUCAUGGAAUAGCAGUUCUUGUUCUUUAUUCUUCCCUUUAAAUAAUAAUUUAUUUAUUAACUAUGAUAAUUGGUAUAUUAUAUUCUUAAUAAAUUAAAUUUUUAAAAUUUAAUUUUUAUCCAAACAUAAAAUUAAUUUUAUUUCUAUUUAUUCUAAGAGUUGUAUUUAUUUUUGGAAUAAUCU